GGCAAGGUGGCCGAGUGGUCUAAGGCGUACGACUCAAGUGUUAAAAAUCUAAUAAUGCUUGCCCUAGAGCAACUAGGGUGUCUUCGUAUGAUGAAAAUCGCGUGGGUUCGAAUCCCACCCUUGUCA
Molecule: transfer RNA, 126 nt
Filed under: Aspergillus minisclerotigenes
Lineage: Eukaryota; Fungi; Ascomycota; Eurotiomycetes; Eurotiales; Aspergillaceae
Rfam family: tRNA
About the family: Transfer RNA (tRNA) molecules are approximately 80 nucleotides in length. Their secondary structure includes four short double-helical elements and three loops (D, anti-codon, and T loops).
Source: Rfam by way of RNAcentral